Molecule: long non-coding RNA, 450 nt
Filed under: Erythranthe guttata (spotted monkey flower)
Lineage: Eukaryota; Viridiplantae; Streptophyta; Magnoliopsida; Lamiales; Phrymaceae
Description: long non-coding RNA (EGUT_LNC000167)
Source: RNAcentral
UAAUGUAAUCGCAUGCCGUUUAGCCAACAAACAAAACCAAUUCAUUUAUUGUAAAAUUAAUCUAAAGUCUCUUGCGCCCGAGAAUGCUCAUACUUCCCCUAUCUCUUAAUUUAUCAAUGGAUGUCAAAUGCUCCAAUACGAGGUCCUCCACCAUAUACUAAAAAUAGCAAACUUGAAAAUAGCAAACUUGUUAUUAUUCAGGAGCCAAAAUAGGAAAUAAAAUUAGAAAAUAAACGCCAUCAAUUAAUCAUAACAUGAUUUAACUUACAUUUUGCAACUUAAAAGUCAUCUACUCUUCAUUUUCCUUAACAAAGUUGGUGCUUGGUCAUUUUCAAUAUGUGAAAAGAAGUAUGGCAACGGAAAGAAAUUAAAAAAGACAUUAAAGUAUAAAUAUAGCAAAAAAUCAAACUGUUGGAGUGUUAAGAAAUGAAAAAUACAAAGAUGGUAUAC